Molecule: non-coding RNA, 148 nt
Filed under: Pan troglodytes (chimpanzee)
Lineage: Eukaryota; Metazoa; Chordata; Mammalia; Primates; Hominidae
Source: Rfam by way of RNAcentral
GCUGGGUGUGGUGGCGGGCGCCUGUAGUCCCAGCUACUUGGGAGGCUGAGGCAGGAGAAUCGCUUGAACCCAGGAGGUAGAGGUUGCAGUGAGCUGAGAUCACACCACUGCACUCCACCCUGGGCAACAGAGUGAGACUCUGUCUCCA